CCUACGGGUGGCAGCAGUGAGGAAUAUUGGUCAAUGGGCGGAAGCCUGAACCAGCCAAGUAGCGUGCAGGAUGACGGCCCUACGGGUUGUAAACUGCUUUUAUACGGGAAUAACGCGCCUUACGUGUAGGGCUUUGCAUGUACCGUAUGAAAAAGCAUCGGCUAACUCCGUGCCAGCAGCCGCGGUAAUACGGAGGAUGCGAGCGUUAUCCGGAUUCAUUGGGUUUAAAGGGUGCGCAGGCGGGCCUUUAAGCCGGCGGUGAAAUCGCGGGGCUCAACCCCGCCGAGCCGUCGGAACUGGGGGCCUUGAGUGCGGCGGAGGCAUGCGGAAUGCGCGGUGUAGCGGUGAAAUGCAUAGAUAUCGCGCAGAACCCCGAUUGCGAAGGCAGCGUGCCGUGCCGCCACUGACGCUGAGGCACGAAAGCGCGGGGAUCGAACAGGAUUAGAUACCCGUGUAGUC
Molecule: ribosomal RNA, 459 nt
Filed under: uncultured bacterium
Lineage: Bacteria
Description: partial 16S ribosomal RNA
Rfam family: Bacterial small subunit ribosomal RNA
Source: RNAcentral